This 27-nucleotide non-coding RNA is filed under the name Rattus norvegicus (Norway rat). The record is from RNAcentral. Lineage: Eukaryota; Metazoa; Chordata; Mammalia; Rodentia; Muridae.
UGUAUCGUAUGUUUCUGGCCCUUGCCC